Molecule: ribosomal RNA, 496 nt
Filed under: uncultured bacterium
Lineage: Bacteria
Description: partial 16S ribosomal RNA
Rfam family: Bacterial small subunit ribosomal RNA
Source: RNAcentral
AUGAACGCUGGCGGCGUGCCUAAUACAUGCAAGUCGAGCGCACAGACGAGGAGCUUGCUCCUCUGACGUUAGCGGCGGCCGGGUGAGUAACACGUGGAUAACCUACCUAUAAGACUGGGAUAACUUCGGGAAACCGGAGCUAAUACCGGAUAAUAUAUUUAACCGCAUGGUUCAAUAGUGAAAGACGGUUUUGCUGUCACUUAUAGAUGGAUCCGCGCCGCAUUAGCUAGUUGGUAAGGUAACGGCUUACCAAGGCGACGAUGCGUAGCCGACCUGAGAGGGUGAUAGGCCACACUGGAACUGAGACACGGUCCAGACUCCUACGGGAGGCAGCAGUAGGGAAUCGUCCGCAAUGGGCGAAAGCCUGACGGAGCAACGCCGCGUGAGUGAUGAAGGUCUUCGGAUCGUAAAACUCUGUUAUUAGGGAAGAACAAAUGUGUAAGUAACUAUGCACGUCUUGACGGUACCUAAUCAGAAAGCCACGGCUAACUACGUG